CUUCUCUCCUUUCUCUCCCUUCACUCUCUUUGGAUUCAACCCUCUUCAUACGCUUUCAUUGGUUUCGGGGCUGACAGCACUGCCUCCUCCCUAUGAAUUCCAUUGAUUUUCUUUCAUUCUACUGCAUUCACUACAAGGAUUGAAGGGAUUUAUUGAAAAUUGCUAGAUACUAGUCUCAAUUUGACAACUCGACCGCCGGGAAGGUUCCGAUAUCCCUCUGGCUUUUUAGGUUGGCAUAACGAAGAGAACGAGUGCCAAGAAACGAAAUACACCCUUCCCUUUUGGUUUGAAUCUAUCAAACUUGAUCAACUGUUUAAGACUAAUUCUAAUGUAGGGGAGCUCCUGAUAGACUUGAAACCCUUAAUUCUAAUUUCCAGCAUGAAUAUAUAAAUGCUUCUGUAUAGAUAAAACAUGUAAUUUUAACCUUGAAAACAAAUUAUACUCCUCUAGAAACUAACAAAGUUAAUUCAAUUAAUGAUAUUUGAUGGAGAUUAAUCGAAUGAUAGAUGGAGAGAAAUCAAAUUGUGAGCAACAUCCUAGGAAAAUGGUUCCUGAAAGAGUAUAAGUUUUUUUCUGAAACAUCUUUCGGAUCUUGCCUUGUGUAGAUUAAAUCAAUUCAUUUCCUCACAGUCGAUUCUGCUACACAAGGCAACAUCCUAGGCAAAUGCCUUGUUGCUCAUUCGUUUGUAAUGAUGAUCAUCAUCCUAGGCUGAUGGUUCCAGAAGGAGGAUAAGCUUCUUAAUGAAAGUCAAGUUUUUUUUUUUUCUAAAAUUUUUAAAGAAAAGACAUCUUAGGGAAAUGGACACGCGAAGACAAGUACAUAAGCAUUAGGAAGUUGCUUCACCCAAGACAUAUACUGGAGGAAAAAAGCACUUGGCCGUACCACAUUAAAGGCAGGGGGCAAGGUAACAAGGAUCAACUUGAGGCAAAGAUGAGGUGAGCUGAGGAAUGACAUGACCCUUAAGACCGAUUGACAGUCAAAGUUCUUCCUCUAAAUGACAAUUCUUAGUAAAGCACAAGAAUUGUUUCCACGUACGACACCAUAUGCUGAUACCAAAAUCUAGUCCAAUGGUGAAUAGGCAUAGUAUUGAUCAAAUAAUGACUACAAAAUGUGCAAGUGGUACACUGAUGUGGUGUUGAGCUUAGUCAUUUGAUCAAGUUUGUCUUCUCUGGCUUGCAAGGGGUCUGCUAUUCUGUGGGAUCUUUGGGAUGAGCAGAAUAAUGGAGUGUUUAUAGGAUUGGAAAAGGAUCCUAGUGAUGUUUGAUUCCUUGUUAGAUUUCAUGUUUCCCUCUAGGCUUCAAUUUCAAGAACUUUUUGUAAUUAAUCCAGUUUUUUCUUCUUCUUCUUCUUCUUCUUUUUUUUUUUUCUUGUAUAGCUCUUUCUUUUAAUUGGGAUCCUUCGUGGACUUUGUUUUUUGUAUGCUCUUGUACUCUUUCAUUUUACUCCAUGAAAGUUGUUUCAAUAAAUAAAAAAUAAAAGGUUAGUAUCGGUUUUGUGAGUAACCUA
Long non-coding RNA from Cucumis sativus (cucumber), 1507 nucleotides. RefSeq lists it as uncharacterized. The transcript is spliced from 2 exons. NCBI's taxonomy places the organism in Eukaryota, Viridiplantae, Streptophyta, Magnoliopsida, Cucurbitales, Cucurbitaceae. The record is from RefSeq and is a predicted model, not a curated record.